AACGAACGCUGGCGGCAUGCCUAACACAUGCAAGUCGAACGAGACCUUCGGGUCUAGUGGCGCACGGGUGCGUAACGCGUGGGAACCUGCCUUUAGGUUCGGAAUAACCCAGAGAAAUUUGAGCUGAUACCGGAUAAUGUCUUCGGACCAAAGAUUUAUCGCCUUUAGAUGGGCCCGCGUUGGAUUAGCUAGUUGGUGGGGUAAAGGCCUACCAAGGCGACGAUCCAUAGCUGGUCUGAGAGGAUGAUCAGCCACACUGGGACUGAGACACGGCCCAGACUCCUACGGGAGGCAGCAGUGGGGAAUAUUGGACAAUGGGCGAAAGCCUGAUCCAGCAAUGCCGCGUGAGUGAUGAAGGCCUUAGGGUUGUAAAGCUCUUUUACCCGAGAUGAUAAUGACAGUAUCGGGAGAAUAAGCUCCGGCUAACUCCGUGCCAGCCGCCGCCGUAA
RNAcentral lists this ribosomal RNA (449 nucleotides) under uncultured bacterium. Its description in RNAcentral is "partial 16S ribosomal RNA". It matches the Rfam family "Bacterial small subunit ribosomal RNA", at positions 29 to 523 of the family's 1533-position model. The record is from RNAcentral.